Molecule: long non-coding RNA, 401 nt
Organism: Lutzomyia longipalpis
Lineage: Eukaryota; Metazoa; Arthropoda; Insecta; Diptera; Psychodidae
Exons: 2
Source: RefSeq, a predicted model, not a curated record
GUCUUUCUUGUGCUAUUAAAUUCAAUGCAACCCAUCAGUGAUGUUUUCCCCAAGAAUUUUCUGUGCGUUGAGUUUUUUUCUUCUUAUCGUGAUGGUUUCUUGUGUUGAUCAACAUAAUAUCAAAGAACGGAGCUUUGCUCAAUAUCCAGGAGAUAAUAUCUACACAUCACGCGGCCGUAGAACGGAAGUAAUUCAAACAUACGGAUCAGGAGGAACAACUGUCAUACAAUCAAAUAAUAAUCCAAUGCGACGCCCAUCUACCGUUGUUGUUACCUGAGCCAACAACAUCAAGAACUAUAUCUUAAAAAUCAAAUAAAAUUAUAAUCAUAUGAAUAUAGCAUGAACUGUGACAUUUUAACGUAUUGCAUGUGGAGUUGAAAAAUAAAUUAUUCAUGAAAUUA